AUUGAACGCUGGCGGCAUGCCUUACACAUGCAAGUCGAACGGUAGCAGGUCUUCGGAUGCUGACGAGUGGCGAACGGGUGAGUAAUACAUCGGAACGUGCCUAGUAGUGGGGGAUAACUACUCGAAAGAGUGGCUAAUACCGCAUGAGAUCUACGGAUGAAAGCAGGGGAUCGCAAGACCUUGUGCUACUAGAGCGGCCGAUGGCAGAUUAGGUAGUUGGUGGGAUAAAAGCUUACCAAGCCGACGAUCUGUAGCUGGUCUGAGAGGACGACCAGCCACACUGGGACUGAGACACGGCCCAAACUCCUACGGGAGGCAGCAGUGGGGAAUUUUGGACAAUGGGCGAAAGCCUGAUCCAGCAAUGCCGCGUGCAGGAUGAAGGCCUUCGGGUUGUAAACUGCUUUUGUACGGAACGAAAAGCCCCGGGUUAAUACCCUGGGGUCAUGACGGUACCGUAAGAAUAAGCACCGGCUAACUACGUGCCAGCAGCCGCCGUAA
This 498-nucleotide ribosomal RNA is filed under the name uncultured bacterium. RNAcentral's name for it is "partial 16S ribosomal RNA". It matches the Rfam family "Bacterial small subunit ribosomal RNA", at positions 30 to 523 of the family's 1533-position model. The record is from RNAcentral.